This 435-nucleotide long non-coding RNA is filed under the name Mytilus galloprovincialis (Mediterranean mussel). Lineage: Eukaryota; Metazoa; Mollusca; Bivalvia; Mytilida; Mytilidae. The record is from RNAcentral.
GUUCAAUACCACAAAAGGAAGGUUUGGAUCGAUUUUGGGGAUGAUGGUCCCAACCGUUUAGGAAUUAAGGGCCCAAAAGGGGCCCAAAACAAGCAUUUUAUAGUUUAAGGAUAAUAACUUGUGUAUAAGUAUUUCAAUUGCUCUGAUAUUGUAUCACAAUGUUUAAAACCACACGUAGAAGGUUUGGAUUCAUUUAAAUGGGUCAUGGGUUCAAAGUUAGGAAUUAAGGGCCAAAAAGGGGCCAAAAAAACAAGCAUUUUUCUAGUUUCAAGACAAUAACUUGUGUGUAAUUGUAUGGAUCUCUCUCAAAUUGUACCACAAUGCUCCAUAUAACAAAGGGGAGGCUGGGAUUUAGUUUUGGAUUAAUUGUCCAAAAUAUGUAGGAAUAAGGGGCCAAAAAAGGGCCAAAAAGAAGCAUGUUUCUAGUUUCCAAAC